GGCCCACGUGGCGGGGGCUGGGAGGCUGCGGGGGGCGGGCAGAGCACUGCGAAGUCCUUGCCGGCUCCAGGACCCGCCGGGUCCUCUAACGAAGUCCCGGCUUCAUGGCCGGCACAGAGAGGUAGCGUUGAGGUGUGGAGUCUUGAAGACGCUGCCCAGACUGAUGCCACCUCUGUGUCCCCAGGAUGCGUGGCGACAGCAGGAGAGGCCCCUCCCUGACCCCCAACCGCCCCCAACGCAGAAGCUCAAGGAGGCUGCGGCCUACUUGGUGAGAGGCCCAGAGGCUGCUGCAGGCCCCCAGAGAGGAGAGCAAGGUCGCAGCCAUGGACUUAGAAAUCAACCACUGCAAUAUAAAGGAAUGAAUUAAUGGUAUUUGCAGCAACCUAGAUGAGAUUGCAGACUAUUAUUCUCAGGGAAGUAACUCAGAAAUGGAAAAACCAAACAUCUUAUG
This 451-nucleotide long non-coding RNA is filed under the name Homo sapiens (human). RNAcentral's name for it is "HSALNT0021440". The record is from RNAcentral. Lineage: Eukaryota; Metazoa; Chordata; Mammalia; Primates; Hominidae.